UGGUAGCACUAUUGAAAUGCCUAU
Molecule: ribosomal RNA, 24 nt
Filed under: Perkinsus olseni
Lineage: Eukaryota; Perkinsozoa; Perkinsida; Perkinsidae
Description: small subunit ribosomal RNA
Source: RNAcentral